CGAUCAGAUUCGCGGCAGAUAGCUCAGUAACACGUGGCCACGCUACCCUUCAGACCAGAAUAACCUCGGGAAACUGAGGCUAAGACUGGAUACGGUAUGCCUGCUGGAAUGCGGCAUACUCCAAACGUUUCGGCGCUGAAGGAUGCGGCUGCGGCCGAUUAGGUAGGCGGUGGGGUAACGGCCCACCGUGCCAAUAAUUGGUACGGGUGAUGAGAGUCAGAGCCCGGAGACGGAAUCUGAGACAAGAUUCCGGGCCCUACGGGGCGCAGCAGGCGCGAAACCUUUACACUGCACGCAAGUGCGAUAGGGGAAUCCCAAGUGCGAGGGCAUACUAGCCCUCGCUUUUGUUGACUGUAAGGAGGUCAACGAAUAAGAGCUGGGCAAGACCGGUGCCAGCCGCCGCGGUAAUACCGGCAGCUCGAGUGAUGUCCAAUAUUAUUGGGCCUAAAGCGUCCGUAGCUGGCCAGCCAAGUUCGUCGGGAAAUCCACCUGCCCAACAGGUGGGCGUCCGGCGAAAACUGUCUGGCUUGGAACCGGAAGGCUCAGAGGGUACGUCCGGGGUAGGAGUGAAAUCCCGUAAUCCCGGACGGACCACCGAUGGCGAAAGCACUCCGAGAAGACGGAUUCGACAGUGAGGGACGAAAGCUAGGGUCUCGAACCGGAUUAGAUACCCGGGUAGUCCUAGCUGUAAACGAUGCUCGUUAGGUGUGGCACCCACUACGAGUGGGUGCUGCGCCGUAGGGAAGCCGC
This 750-nucleotide ribosomal RNA is filed under the name uncultured archaeon. RNAcentral's name for it is "bacterial SSU rRNA". It matches the Rfam family "Archaeal small subunit ribosomal RNA", at positions 63 to 815 of the family's 1478-position model. The record is from RNAcentral.